This is a long non-coding RNA of Onychostoma macrolepis, 935 nucleotides long. RefSeq lists it as uncharacterized. Lineage: Eukaryota; Metazoa; Chordata; Actinopteri; Cypriniformes; Cyprinidae. The record is from RefSeq and is a predicted model, not a curated record. The transcript is spliced from 3 exons.
ACUUCAGCCAAAACCACCCCCCUCUCAGUUUUGACAUGUUUCCUGUUCUGUUCAGAAUAUCAGAAGCCCUUUUCCUGUUGUAAUGUGCAUCUUCUCAUUACAUAAAUCCCCCUGAAGCUCAGACGCACAACAUCAGCAGAGAUCUCAGAGUUGUGAUGGAUGUUUCUUCUCUUCAGAUCAAGGUGGGAUGCAGAAAUGAGACAACACAGAGAGAAAACUGUUGGAGCAUCAGAAACCAGAUAAUCAAAAACAACAGAAAUGGAGUCCAGAAAUGAGACACAAACCAGUGAAACACAAGAGAAAAACAGACAGACGCUUGUUAGAUGCGACAGUAUGAAGAAAGUAAACCCAAGCUUCUCUCGUGAUCCAGACGGACCUGUAAACUUUAAUUCUGGAGAAACUUCAGCAUGUUCUGAAGAACACACAACAUCCCUGAGACAGCAGCAGCUGAAGACAACACCAUCAUGAUCACAGACUCCAUCCAUCCACACUACAGUCUGCUCAGAUCUCCUCUUUCAUCUGUUCAUCCUCAUUAUUCAUCUCUGCCUCGUUUGGUUCUUCAAACUGUUGAUUUGAUUCAGAUAUCUGGAUGAAGUUGUCUGAGAUUACUGUGAACUCACAGCUCAGACGAAUUUUACAUAAUGUGUGUUUGACUGCAAUUAAAUCAUGAGAUAAUUAUUCCUUCACUAAUAAACCUCUCAAUGAGUAAAACUGGUUGCAUUUAUUAUUGUAGAUAACACACAUUUUUAAUUAUUCUCAAAAUAAUUUUAAAAUUACCGGUAUAAUCUUUCAUAAUUAUUUUUUUCUGGCUCAAUAAGGUACACUUGUAAGAAAGUAGCAGUGGUUGGGAGAGAUUUUCAGCUAAUGUGAUUCAGUCUAAUCCUUUUUACGUGAAAUAAAGCUUGAUCCGGAGCAGGUUUGAGCAAACGGACCUG